GCGAGACAUCGAGAGUGGGCGCAGCGGCGAUUUCAGUGUAGAUGCUGAGGGUGCGUGUAAGGUACCGGACUUCUAAAACUAUGAAGUUACGGUAUACAUUUAAAUAGUUCCGGUGAAGUUGCAGUGGAAUGUAAUGUACCGGAUUUUAAAUAUAAAAGUGAAAAUAAAUAAAAAUAGUAUGAGAUACUAUUUUUAUUGGAUUUAGAAAAGUGAAAUAUAAGUUGGGAAUGACCUGUGCUGAAAUCGGAGCGAAAACAGAAGAUUUAGAAUUUUCUGUGAGAAACGAGGCAGAUAAAUUAGCAGAAAAUGCAGUGUCAGAAAAUUAUGAAAACUGGAGGAUAUGUCAGAAAUAUUUUUAUGAGGCUAGAUUUAAAGUUUCAUACCAUUCUGACACCCGUAGAGUGAGAAAUAAAAUCCGACAGUUAUCUGAUAAAGAUUACAGUUCGGUACAGUUUUCGGUGACCAAACGGGGUCGAAAUUGAAAUAUUAAAAUUUCUUGGACUCGUUAAGUAAAACCGAACAUGACUGUCAAAUUUGAGCUGAAACGGAUAUUCAGGGAGCUCCGGCGAAAGAUAUCAGAUUUCGAGCUGCCUGGAGUUGAAUACUGUAAAGUUGAGGGGCUAACUUGUAAAAAGUGAUCUAGUCGUUUCGAUCAAUUUAGUGAGUUUUGGCCUGAACCACGGAUGGCGGGUUCGUAUGAAUUCAUUGCAAGAGCGAAUGGAUGUUAGUCGUGGCUUAUAGUAUUAAAGGAUAAAGAGAAAGUAAAGUGGUCUCUAGGAGACACUUGAGCUAGUGAAAGCCACGUGAGAAUUGGAGCUUGAGGAGAAUGCUCUUUUAUGGAUUGAGAAUCGAGAUGCGCCGGAGUGGGCCAUCUCUUGAUAGAGCAAAGAUCCAAAUGUGAUUUGAACACUCACGAUGAAGCGAUGCACAAUGAUAUUGCCUUCAAGCAAGGUUGGUAAUCGAAUUGUAAAUACCCUGAGGGGAAAGUAAAUGCAAAGAAAAGUUCUUGCAUGUCAAGUGGUGAAUGGUGUUCGAGCGCGUAGUGUCGUUGAGUUUCAACUUGCGCUACCACCAAGAAUGACGGAGACUCGUAAUGCACUUUUGGACUUACAUAUGGCAAAUGUGAGUGAAUCUAGUCUCACGUCCUCCGUAGUGGGCCUUUGGAUAGUUCCAAUGAGCGAAAGGCCACUCCGAGAUGCAAAAGUGCACUGUACCCCUUGUCACUCAAUAAAGAGAAUUAGAGUGUGAAUUGGAUUGAAGUGAGUGAGUUUCGGGGACGAAACUCUUAUUAAGGAGGGGAGGAAGUAAGGUACCGGACUUCUAAAACUAUGAAGUUACGGUAUACAUUUAAAUGGUUCUGGUGAGGUUGCAGUGGAAUGUAACAUACCAGAUUUUAAAUAUAAAAGUGAAAAUAAAUAAAAAUAGUAUGAGAUACUAUUUUUAUUGGAUUUAGAGAAGUGAAAUAUAAGUUGGGAAUGACCUGUGCUGAAAUCGGAGCGAAAACAGAAGAUUUAAAAUUUUCUGUGAGAAACGGGGCAGAUAAAUUAGUAGAAAAUGCACAGUGUCAGAAAAUUAUGAAAACUGGAGGAUAUGUCAGAAAUAUUUUUAUGAUGCUAGAUUUAAAGUUUCAUACCAUUCUGACACCCGUAGAGUGAGAAAUAAAAUCCGACAGUUAUCUGAUAAAGAUUACAGUUCGGUAUAGUUUUCGGUGACUAAACAGGAUCGAAACUGAAAUAUUAAAAUUUUUUUGGACUCGUUAAGUAAAACCGAACAUGACUGUCAAAUUUGAGCACAAACGGAUAUCCAGGGA
This 1810-nucleotide long non-coding RNA is filed under the name Ananas comosus (pineapple). RNAcentral describes it as "long non-coding RNA (ACOM_LNC007302)". Lineage: Eukaryota; Viridiplantae; Streptophyta; Magnoliopsida; Poales; Bromeliaceae. The record is from RNAcentral.